RNAcentral lists this unclassified non-coding RNA (88 nucleotides) under Halpernia frigidisoli. RNAcentral's name for it is "Chryseobacterium frigidisoli Flavo-1 RNA". Lineage: Bacteria; Pseudomonadati; Bacteroidota; Flavobacteriia; Flavobacteriales; Weeksellaceae. The record is from RNAcentral.
GAAUAACCCGCAGCCCGACCUGAGUGGAGCUCUUUUUAUGUGGAACGAAGUGGAACUUAAAAAGCGGGAACGGAGGGCGGAAAUUGCU